CCUCGGAUCAGGUAGGGAUACCCGCUGAACUUAAGCAUAUCAAUAAGCGGAGGAAAAGAAACCAACAGGGAUUGCCCUAGUAACGGCGAGUGAAGCGGCAACAGCUCAAAUUUGAAAUCUGGCGCAAGCCCGAGUUGUAAUUUGUAGAGGAUGCUUCAGGGCAGCGGCCGGUCUAAGUUCCUUGGAACAGGACGUCAUAGAGGGUGAGAAUCCCGUAUGCGACCGGUUGGCACCCGUCACGUAGCUCCUUCGACGAGUCGAGUUGUUUGGGAAUGCAGCUCUAAAUGGGAGGUAAAUUUCUUCUAAAGCUAAAUACCGGCCAGAGACCGAUAGCGCACAAGUAGAGUGAUCGAAAGAUGAAAAGCACUUUGGAAAGAGAGUUAAAAAGCACGUGAAAUUGUUGAAAGGGAAGCGCAUGCAACCAGACUUGUCGGCGGUGUUCCGCCGGUCUUCUGACCGGUCUACUCGCCGCCGGCAGGCCAGCAUCAUCUGGGUGCGCCGGACAAAGGCGCGGGGAAUGUAGCUCCUCGGAGUGUUAUAGCCCCGCGCACAAUACGGCGCCGCCCGGGUGAGGUCCGCGCUUCGGCUAGGAUGCUGGCGUAAUGGUUGUAUGCGGCCCGUCUUGAAACACGGACCAAGGAGUCUAACAUCUAUGCGAGUGUUCGGGUGUCAAACCCCUACGCGGAAUGAAAGUGAACGGAGGUGGGAAGCGCAAGCUGCACCAUCGACCGAUCCUGAUGUCUUCGGAUGGAUUUGAGUAAGAGCAUAGCUGUUGGGACCCGAAAGAUGGUGAACUAUGCCUGAAUAGGGUGAAGCCAGAGGAAACUCUGGUGGAGGCUCGCAGCGGUUCUGACGUGCAAAUCGAUCGUCAAAUUUGGGUAUAGGGGCGAAAGACUAAU
This 899-nucleotide ribosomal RNA is filed under the name Teratosphaeria dimorpha. RNAcentral describes it as "partial 28S ribosomal RNA". It matches the Rfam family "Eukaryotic large subunit ribosomal RNA", at positions 1 to 935 of the family's 3401-position model. The record is from RNAcentral. Lineage: Eukaryota; Fungi; Ascomycota; Dothideomycetes; Mycosphaerellales; Teratosphaeriaceae.